Molecule: ribosomal RNA, 389 nt
Filed under: uncultured bacterium
Lineage: Bacteria
Description: bacterial SSU rRNA
Rfam family: Bacterial small subunit ribosomal RNA
Source: RNAcentral
AUUGAACGCUGGCGGCAUGCCUUACACAUGCAAGUCGAACGGCAGCGGACCUUCGGGUGCCGGCGAGUGGCGAACGGGUGAGUAAUAUAUCGGAACGUACCUUUCAGUGGGGGAUAACGUAGCGAAAGUUACGCUAAUACCGCAUAUUCUGUGAGCAGGAAAGCAGGGGGAUCGCAAGACCUUGCGCUGAUUGAGCGGCCGAUAUCAGAUUAGCUAGUUGGUGAGGUAAAGGCCUACCAAGGCGACGAUCCGUAGCUGGUCUGAGAGGACGACCAGCCACACUGGAACUGAGACACGGUCCAGACUCCUACGGGAGGCAGCAGUGGGGAAUUUUGGACAAUGGGCGAAAGCCUGAUCCAGCCAUUCCGCGUGAGUGAAGAAGGCCUCGG